CAAUAGCGUAUAUUUAAGUUGUUGCAGUUAAAAAGCUCGUAGUCGGAUUUUGGCUGAGAACGAUCGGUCCGCCGUUAGGUGUGCACUGAUUGGUCUCAGCUUCCUGGUGAGGAGGUGUGCUUCACGGCCACUUAGUCACCGUGGUUACUUUGAAAAAAUUAGAGUGUUCAAAGCGGGCUUACGCUUGAAUAUAUUAGCAUGGAAUAACACCAUAGGACUCCUGUCCUAUUUCGUUGGUCUCGGGACGGGAGUAAUGAUUAAGAGGAACAGUUGAGGGCAUUCGUAUUUCAUUGUCAGAGGUGAAAUUCUUGGAUUUAUGAAAGACGAACUUCUGCGAAAGCAUUUGCCAAGGAUGUUUUCAUUGA
RNAcentral lists this ribosomal RNA (365 nucleotides) under uncultured eukaryote. RNAcentral's name for it is "partial 18S ribosomal RNA". It matches the Rfam family "Eukaryotic small subunit ribosomal RNA", at positions 592 to 976 of the family's 1831-position model. The record is from RNAcentral.